UACGGAGGGUGCAAGCGUUAUCCGGAUUCACUGGGUUUAAAGGGUGCGUAGGAGGGCAGGUAAGUCCGUGGUGAAAUCUCUGAGCUUAACUCAGAAACUGCCGUGGAUACUACCGGUCUUGAAUACCGUGGAGGUGAGCGGAAUAUGUCAUGUAGCGGUGAAAUGCUUAGAUAUGACAUAGAACACCAAUUGCGAAGGCAGCUCACUACCCGAAUAUUGACUCUGAGGCACGAAAGCGUGGGGAUCAAACAGG
Molecule: ribosomal RNA, 253 nt
Filed under: uncultured bacterium
Lineage: Bacteria
Description: partial 16S ribosomal RNA
Rfam family: Bacterial small subunit ribosomal RNA
Source: RNAcentral